Molecule: ribosomal RNA, 253 nt
Filed under: uncultured bacterium
Lineage: Bacteria
Description: partial 16S ribosomal RNA
Rfam family: Bacterial small subunit ribosomal RNA
Source: RNAcentral
UACGAAGGGGGCUAGCGUUGUUCGGAUUUACUGGGCGUAAAGCGCACGUAGGCGGAUGGUUAAGUCAGGGGUGAAAUCCCAGAGCUCAACUCUGGAACUGCCUUUGAUACUGGCCAUCUCGAGUCCGGAAGAGGUGAGUGGAACUCCUAGUGUAGAGGUGGAAUUCGUAGAUAUUAGGAAGAACACCAGUGGCGAAGGCGGCUCACUGGUCCGGUACUGACGCUGAGGUGCGAAAGCGUGGGGAGCAAACAGG